This 927-nucleotide ribosomal RNA is filed under the name Triticum aestivum (bread wheat). RNAcentral's name for it is "partial small subunit ribosomal RNA". Lineage: Eukaryota; Viridiplantae; Streptophyta; Magnoliopsida; Poales; Poaceae. The record is from RNAcentral.
AUGGACUUCCAUGACAGAGACAAUUUGGAGAGAUCAAUUUGCAUCUCAGACAUACCAUAUUAUAAUUUGGUUGCCCUAAUAGAGAUAGAGGGAUAUGGGCUUAAUGAUUUCAUGUAUUUUGUGAGGGGUCCUGGUGUGGGGAUUGCAGGAAUGGAUGAAAUUUGUGAUGAUGAUAAGGUGGAUGAAAUGCUUGACCAUAUUGCUAACAAUGAUCAGCACGUAGUGAACUUGAUAGUGGUUAGGGGCACUGAUCCAAGACCUGCAGAUUUGAACUCAGGUUAUCUGGUUGAGGAGCAGGUUCCUUUGAGCCAUAUAGGAGAGAACCCUGUGUAUGUAGUAAAUCCUUCUAGUGUUCUCUUAAGAUCACCACCAAAAAGUAUAAUACAGAGUCAGCCAGAGCCAUUGCAGUUCUACACUACACAGCAGAGCACAAACCAUGAUCUGGAUACAAAUGCUGCCAUGGACCAAUCCAAUGCAGCACAUCAGGAUGAACUGGAGACAUUAAUGGAGUUGAAGAGGAGAACAAAGAUUGCCAAAUUUAGGAAACAUAAGAUUGCAGCUGAGCAUGUAAAUAAAGUUAAGCAGAAGCUACCAAUUCUUCUAACUGAAGAUGAUUCAGAUCUGGAUGCAGAUGAGGACUAUCUUCAGAGGCUUAAUGAGAUGAGGAAGCAAAGAGAGGAUCCACUCAUUCAUUUUGAUGGAGACACUGAUGUGGAUGAACUGUAUGAGGAAGAUGAGGAAGGGCAACAUGUGGAGGUGGAGCAAGAGGAGCAGGUGCACCAAGAGGAGCAGGUGGAGCAGCGUCAGCAGCAAGAGGUGCCUACAAAGAAGAAGAAUGCUAGGAAAGGGCCAACAGAGAGGAAUAUGAUGAUGGAGCUGAGGAAGUACAAUUUGUUCUACUCAAUGGAAGGAAGAGCAGAUCAGUGA